GGGCAAGUGCUGGAAUGGUAGACAGGCAAGUCUCAAAAACUUGUGGUGCGAAAGCAUCGUGAGGGUUCGACUCCCUCCUUGCCCA
RNAcentral lists this transfer RNA (85 nucleotides) under Candidatus Woesebacteria bacterium. Its description in RNAcentral is "tRNA-Leu". It matches the Rfam family "tRNA". Rfam says of the family: Transfer RNA (tRNA) molecules are approximately 80 nucleotides in length. The record is from RNAcentral. Lineage: Bacteria; Candidatus Woeseibacteriota.